AUGGGUGAGGAAAUCCUUCCAGCCAACUUAAUUGUCGUCUGCUAUAGCAUUGUUGGUGUUCCUAUUUGGUCCAAGUUUGCUACAAGAUUCAAACAAAAAGAGGCUUGUUUUCUUGAGCACUUCAUGACACAGUGCAUCGAUUUGGGCUUUUCUCCUAGUGUCGCUCUAGCACAUUUGCAGAUAUGGCAAGCUGUUUUUGUUGCUUUUUUCAGUUCCAAGGAGGCAAUGGAUCAAUUGUGGGUUUCCUAUUGUCAAAGAAUCUGCUCUGUUUCACCUUGGUGGCGAGACAAUUUGGACAGUGUAAAUGAUGCUUGUUGGAAGGGUGCUCUUGAUGCAAUUCAGGUGACAUGGGACCCAGGAGGUUCAACACGACAUUGA
Molecule: ribosomal RNA, 378 nt
Filed under: Triticum aestivum (bread wheat)
Lineage: Eukaryota; Viridiplantae; Streptophyta; Magnoliopsida; Poales; Poaceae
Description: partial small subunit ribosomal RNA
Source: RNAcentral